Molecule: unclassified non-coding RNA, 90 nt
Organism: Propithecus coquereli (Coquerel's sifaka)
Lineage: Eukaryota; Metazoa; Chordata; Mammalia; Primates; Indriidae
Gene: 7SK
Rfam family: 7SK RNA
About the family: 7SK was discovered as an abundant small nuclear RNA in the mid-70s but a possible function has only recently been suggested. Two independent studies have found that 7SK RNA binds the CDK9/cyclin T complex (known as elongation factor P-TEFb).
Source: Ensembl
GGGCGAUCUGGCUGCAACAUCUGUCACCCCAUUGAUCGCCAGGGUUGAUUUGGCUGAUCUGGCUGGCUAGGCAGGUGUCUCCUUCCUCCC